This 72-nucleotide transfer RNA is filed under the name Sphaerobolus stellatus SS14. RNAcentral's name for it is "tRNA-Gln (TTG) (tRNA-Gln-TTG-7-1)". It matches the Rfam family "tRNA". Rfam says of the family: Transfer RNA (tRNA) molecules are approximately 80 nucleotides in length. Their secondary structure includes four short double-helical elements and three loops (D, anti-codon, and T loops). Lineage: Eukaryota; Fungi; Basidiomycota; Agaricomycetes; Geastrales; Sphaerobolaceae. The record is from RNAcentral.
GGUUUUAUGGGGUAGUGGUUAUCCCCUGAGAUUUUGAUUCUCAUGACCCCGGUUCGAGUCCGGGUAAGACCU